Gallus gallus (chicken) is the source of this 1064-nucleotide long non-coding RNA. The record is from Ensembl. Lineage: Eukaryota; Metazoa; Chordata; Aves; Galliformes; Phasianidae.
UCUGUAUAGAAGAGACUACUGAUGUGCCAUCACUUUCAAUCCCAAACUGACCAGCAACAACUUUGGUAAUUUCCAUGCAUGUGUGAAACAUUCAGAGAGCUCUAACUACUAAAACUGCUUACAAAAUACAGAGACAUCACUGUGGAUGCAAACUGAAAGUGAUAGACGUGUUCCCAGUGGCCACAAGUUUGAAUAGUACAUCAUGAAUUCUUUGGUAAUUUGCUUUUUCAGCAGAGUGCCAGUAAAACACCAGACUCUUGCUUUCCUUUUAGGUUCCCAUGCUGAAACUUUGCUGAAGUGGGAGAUAGCUUGAAUUUCCGGCAGAGAUUUCAGAGAGCUUUCCAAGUUCCCAAAUCUCUCCAGAGCACUGAAUCAGUUGUGCAACCUUGUGAAGCACCUAUAUGGGACAUGUUACCUUACCUGCUGAGGAGUCGGCUUGCGACAAAAGUCAUGUGAGGUUACACAGCAAAAGAGACACAUUGCAACAGAAGAUACUGAUGGUGGACCACAACUUCUACCACACAGCACUGCUUAGUUAAUAAGCAUUAUAUUUCCAAAUGGCUCUGUAGACCUGCUUUAGAAAAUACAUCAUGUCCUUCCAAACCACCAGGAUAUUAAAGAUCAAGUACAUAGCAACUUCAAAUAAUCUAGUUGAUAAGUUUAUCCCUUUGUUUGCAUAUGUAACCUAAGCUGUAAUUGGGAUUCUCUAACCUGCCUGUAUCUGAAUUUUCACAGGGACUAAAAAACAUCUAUCUUUGUCACCAGACUAAUCUCCAUUGUAUUUCAAAUAUUUUCUCCACUAAAAUAAAUGCACUAGAGUUUCCCCAGCAAAAGCAUUAUGUACCUUGCUGGUACACCAGGUACAGUCAGACUGGCAGCUUUAGAUUAGCUUUAGAUUGCUUACAAGACAGCAGUACAUUCAGAAGCAUAAGACUGUGCUGUGGAACAGCAUUGUGGUGACCUACCAAAGACCAUGAAGUACAGUGCUUCAUCAACGACCACAUCUUUAGAGAGAUUCUCCUGGCAGAAAUGCCAAAUGAGCAUGAGUCCUUUAUGGCUUUAAG